This 373-nucleotide ribosomal RNA is filed under the name uncultured eukaryote. RNAcentral's name for it is "partial 18S ribosomal RNA". It matches the Rfam family "Eukaryotic small subunit ribosomal RNA", at positions 592 to 975 of the family's 1831-position model. The record is from RNAcentral.
CAAUAGCGUAUAUUAAAGUUGUUGCAGUUAAAAAGCUCGUAGUUGAAUGUUGGUGUCGAACGAGCGGUCAGCUUCGGCUGUACUGCUCUCUCGACUCCUUCCUUCUGUGGACUACGUCGCACUUUACUGUGUGGCGCUAGGACGCAGAUCGUUUACUGUGAAAAAAUUAGAGUGUUCAAAGCAGGCCGUACGCUUGAAUACAUUAGCAUGGAAUAAUGGAAUAGGACGUCGGGCCUAUUUUGUUGGUUCUAGGACCGUCGUAAUGAUUAAUAGGGACAGUUGGGGCCGUUUAUAUUCCGUAGUCAGAGGUGAAAUUCUUGGAUUUACGGAAGAUAAACUACUGCGAAAGCAUUCGGCAAGGAUGUUUNCGUUA